AAUUAUUGAGAUUAUGUAUAUGUUCUGACAUUGAUCAAUCGCUUGCAUCUGUUGCUCCUUCUGAUCCUAUCUUUUCCCGACAAAGGUACGUACUGGGGAACUCCAUUGCUGGAUAACCAGCACUCUUCUUAUCCCAAAUUUGUUUCUUGGAUUCCCCCUCCCUUUGGUCAUAUUAUCAUUAAUUUUGAUGGAGCCACAGUUAAGGACAGAUCGGCUGCUGGUUUUGUUAUUUGUGAUCAUGAUGGUUCAUUGUUGCUAAUUGGAGGCAAAAUUCUCCCC
RNAcentral lists this long non-coding RNA (279 nucleotides) under Elaeis guineensis (African oil palm). Its description in RNAcentral is "long non-coding RNA (EGUI_LNC041779)". The record is from RNAcentral. Lineage: Eukaryota; Viridiplantae; Streptophyta; Magnoliopsida; Arecales; Arecaceae.